CCAAUCAAUAUUAAAAUCUCCAAAGACCAACAGUUCACUUUUAGGGUUUUGAGCUAUGGUUUCACUAAGGAGAUGGGCUAUGUCAGAAAGGGAAUGCACAGGAGAGCUAGGUGGGCGGUAGAUUCCUCCAGCAAUGAUUGAUUUACUGCACAGGAUCUCAAUUGUGCCAGAAAGGAAAUCAAAGGUGGCAGGAGGACUAAGGUUUUCUAAAGGGGUAAACUUUAUGGAAUAGUCAACAUAAAUAACAAUGCCUCCUCCUCUCUUUGCUCUCUCAUUUCUAAAACAUGAAUACCCCUGUAUUGCAAUGGCAGUGUCUGGUAUUUUAGUUGUUAACCGUGAUUCUGAGUGCACAAUGAUUUUUGGUUUGUAAUGGGAACACCAGGCUUACAGUGCAUCCAGUUUAGGGAGUAAACUACGGAUGUUGCAGUGCACAAAAGAGAGGCCUUUUUUAGUGAGGAGAUUAGGGCUAGAAUUAGCUGGGGGACCAGGGUUAGACGCCACAUCAUUUGCAAGGGCAAGUAACAUAAGGAAUAGGAAUUUGGACAUCAUUUUUGUUUGGCCAUAUAGUGAAUGGGAUACUUUAUAAUUUUGUGAGGUGGGG
This is a non-coding RNA of Pelobates cultripes (western spadefoot toad), 601 nucleotides long. Lineage: Eukaryota; Metazoa; Chordata; Amphibia; Anura; Pelobatidae. The record is from the annotation of a GenBank genome assembly.